This 473-nucleotide ribosomal RNA is filed under the name uncultured bacterium. RNAcentral's name for it is "bacterial SSU rRNA". It matches the Rfam family "Bacterial small subunit ribosomal RNA", at positions 44 to 524 of the family's 1533-position model. The record is from RNAcentral.
AGGCCUAACAUAUGCAAGUCGAACGGUGGCAGCAAUGUCAUAGUGGCGCACGGGUGCGUAACACGUAGCUAACCUACCCAGAACUGGGGGAUAGCCCGCCGAAAGGCGGAUUAACACCGCAUAACAUCUACUGGUGGCAUCACUAGUUGAUUAAAUCUACGGAGGUUCUGGAUGGGGCUGCGGGUCGUUAGCUAGUUGGUAAGGUAACGGCUUACCAAGGCGACGAUGACUAGGGGAGCUGAGAGGCUGGUCCCCCACACGGGCACUGAGAUACGGGCCCGACUCCUACGGGAGGCAGCAGUAGGGAAUAUUGGGCAAUGGGCGAGAGCCUGACCCAGCCAUGCCGCGUGCAGGAAGAAGGCUUUCUGAGUCGUAAACUGCUUUUGAUAGGGAAGAAUAAGCACUACGUGUAGUGUGAUGACGGUACCUACAGAAUAAGCACCGGCUAACUCCGUGCCAGCAGCCGCGGUAAU